GCUUACGGCCAUAUCAGCCUGGGUACGCCCGAUCUCGUCUGAUCUCGGAAGCUAAGCAGGGUCGGGCCUGGUUAGUACUUCGAUGGGAGACUGCCUGGCAAUACCAGGUGCUGUAAGCA
RNAcentral lists this ribosomal RNA (119 nucleotides) under Salmo salar (Atlantic salmon). Lineage: Eukaryota; Metazoa; Chordata; Actinopteri; Salmoniformes; Salmonidae. The record is from RNAcentral.